This 397-nucleotide ribosomal RNA is filed under the name uncultured bacterium. Its description in RNAcentral is "partial 16S ribosomal RNA". It matches the Rfam family "Bacterial small subunit ribosomal RNA", at positions 523 to 918 of the family's 1533-position model. The record is from RNAcentral.
AUACGUAGGGGGCAAGCGUUGUCCGGAAUUAUUGGGCGUAAAGCGCGCGCAGGCGGUCCUUUAAGUCUGAUGUGAAAGCCCACGGCUCAACCGUGGAGGGUCAUUGGAAACUGGGGGACUUGAGUGCAGAAGAGGAAAGUGGAAUUCCAAGGGUAGCGGUGAAAUGCGUAGAGAUUUGGAGGAACACCAGUGGCGAAGGCGACUUUCUGGUCUGUAACUGACGCUGAGGCGCGAAAGCGUGGGGAGCAAACAGGAUUAGAUACCCUGGUAGUCCACGCCGUAAACGAUGAGUGCUAAGUGUUAGGGGGUUUCCGCCCCUUAGUGCUGCAGCUAACGCAUUAAGCACUCCGCCUGGGGAGUACGGUCGCAAGACUGAAACUCAAAUGAAUUGACGGGG